This 253-nucleotide ribosomal RNA is filed under the name uncultured bacterium. Its description in RNAcentral is "partial 16S ribosomal RNA". It matches the Rfam family "Bacterial small subunit ribosomal RNA", at positions 524 to 776 of the family's 1533-position model. The record is from RNAcentral.
UACGAAGGGGGCUAGCGUUGCUCGGAAUCACUGGGCGUAAAGGGCGCGUAGGCGGCCUUCUAAGUCGGACGUGAAAUCCCUCGGCUUAACCGAGGAACUGCGUCCGAUACUGAAAGGCUUGAAUCCGGGAGAGGGAUGUGGAAUUCCAGGUGUAGCGGUGAAAUGCGUAGAUAUCUGGAGGAACACCGGUGGCGAAGGCGGCAUCCUGGACCGGCAUUGACGCUGAGGCGCGAAAGCUAGGGGAGCAAACGGG